CUUGUCGAACGAGCGAGAGAGAGCUUGCUUUCUCGAGCGAGUGGCGAACGGGUGAGUAACGCGUGAGGAACCUGCCUCAAAGAGGGGGACAACAGUUGGAAACGACUGCUAAUACCGCAUAAGCCACGGUGCCGCAUGGCACAGAGGGAAAAGGAGCAAUCCGCUUUGGGAUGGCCUCGCGUCCGAUUAGCUAGUUGGUGAGGUAACGGCCCACCAAGGCAACGAUCGGUAGCCGGACUGAGAGGUUGAACGGCCACAUUGGGACUGAGACACGGCCCAGACUCCUACGGGAGGCAGCAGUGGGGAAUAUUGCACAAUGGGGGAAACCCUGAUGCAGCGACGCCGCGUGGAGGAAGAAGGUCUCCGGAUUGUAAACUCCUGUUGUUGGGGAAGAUAAUGACGGUACCCAACAAGGAAGUGACGGCUAACUACGUGCCAGCAGCCGCGGUAAAACGUAGGUCACAAGCGUUGUCCGGAAUUACUGGGUGUAAAGGGAGCGCAGGCGGGAAGACAAGUUGGAAGUGAAGUCUAUGGGCUCAACCCAUAAACUGCUUUCAAAACUGUUUUUCUUGAGUAGUGCAGAGGUAGGCGGAAUUCCCGGUGUAGCGGUGGAAUGCGUAGAUAUCGGGAGGAACACCAGUGGCGAAGGCGGCCUACUGGGCACCAACUGACGCUGAGGCUCGAAAGUGUGGGUAGCAAACAGGAUUAGAUACCCUGGUAGUCCACACCGUAAACGAUGAUUACUAGGUGUUGGAGGAUUGACCCCUUCAG
RNAcentral lists this ribosomal RNA (771 nucleotides) under uncultured bacterium. RNAcentral's name for it is "bacterial SSU rRNA". It matches the Rfam family "Bacterial small subunit ribosomal RNA", at positions 58 to 843 of the family's 1533-position model. The record is from RNAcentral.